AACGAACGCUGGCGGCAUGCCUAACACAUGCAAGUCGAACGAGACCUUCCGGUCUAGUUGCGCACGUGUGCGUAACGCGUGGGAACCUGCCCUUAGGUUCGCAAUAACUCCCCGAAAGGGGUCCUCAUACCGGAUAAUCUCUUCCCACCUAAGAUUUAUCGCCUUUGGAUGGGCGCGCGUUGGAUUCGCUGGUUGGUAGGGUAAAAGCAUGCCAAGGCGACGUUGCUUAGCUGGUCUGUGAGGAUGAAAAUCCACACUGGGAAUGAGACACGGACUAGACUGCUACGGAGGGGAGCAGAAGAGUAUAUUAGGGGAGGAGCGAAAGUGUGGUAAAGCAAUGCCGGGUAAGUGAUGAAGGGCUUAGGGAUGUAAAGUUGUUUUAGCCGGGAUGAUAAUGACAGUACCGGGAGAAUAAGCACCGGCUAACUACGUG
This 433-nucleotide ribosomal RNA is filed under the name uncultured bacterium. RNAcentral describes it as "partial 16S ribosomal RNA". It matches the Rfam family "Bacterial small subunit ribosomal RNA", at positions 29 to 507 of the family's 1533-position model. The record is from RNAcentral.